Molecule: long non-coding RNA, 501 nt
Organism: Symphalangus syndactylus (siamang)
Lineage: Eukaryota; Metazoa; Chordata; Mammalia; Primates; Hylobatidae
Source: RefSeq, a predicted model, not a curated record
CUUAUUGUGUGUCUCCAAGUCCUGAGUCUACUGGGGUUAUGUAGAAAAAAAGUUUUAAACAUUUUUUUUGGGAAAUAAUUGCAAAGUUACAGCUAAAUUAUAAUAUAAAAAGAAGAGUUCUAUACCAUUUUACCCAGAUCUUACCUAUGUUCAAACUUUGAAGGGUAUUUUUAGAUCUAAGAGAUCUGGGUCUUUAAAGUCAGUCUCGGCCAGAAUCAGGCUGCAAAUGCCAAAGCAAGAGAUGUCAGCAAUGAGUUGCAGGUCUUUGCCAAACAGAGCAUCAUCUGGCAGUGAAAGGAGAGCAGAAGAGGGGAUUUUGAAGUGUGGACCGACCAUGGACUGAUAGAAAAAGGAACCACGAGGGCCUCCAACAAUGGGAAUGUGGUUGCCUCUUCCUGGUGCAACACCUGGGUUCUGCAGCGGUGCAUGCCAGAUAUUUGGCAUGAAGGUGGAACAAGCAAGGAAGGUGCUGGUGUUUGUAGCCACAACCAAUGUGGUGUG